CAGCCGCCACGGUAAUACAGAGGGUGCGAGCGUUAAUCGGAUUUACUGGGCGUAAAGCGUGCGUAGGCGGCUUUUUAAGUCGGAUGUGAAAUCCCUGAGCUUAACUUAGGAAUUGCAUUCGAUACUGGGAAGCUAGAGUAUGGGAGAGGAUGGUAGAAUUCCAGGUGUAGCGGUGAAAUGCGUAGAGAUCUGGAGGAAUACCGAUGGCGAAGGCAGCCAUCUGGCCUAAUACUGACGCUGAGGUACGAAAGCAUGGGGAGCAAACAGGAUUAGAGACCCGCGUAGUCCCUGUCUCUUAUAC
Molecule: ribosomal RNA, 301 nt
Filed under: uncultured bacterium
Lineage: Bacteria
Description: partial 16S ribosomal RNA
Rfam family: Bacterial small subunit ribosomal RNA
Source: RNAcentral